RNAcentral lists this ribosomal RNA (640 nucleotides) under uncultured bacterium. RNAcentral describes it as "bacterial SSU rRNA". It matches the Rfam family "Bacterial small subunit ribosomal RNA", at positions 227 to 869 of the family's 1533-position model. The record is from RNAcentral.
GAGCAUGCGUCCCAUUAGCUAGUUGGUAAGGUAACGGCUUACCAAGGCAACGAUGGGUAGGGGUCCUGAGAGGGAGAUCCCCCACACUGGUACUGAGACACGGACCAGACUCCUACGGGAGGCAGCAGUGAGGAAUAUUGGUCAAUGGUCGGAAGACUGAACCAGCCAUGCCGCGUGCAGGAUGACGGCCCUAUGGGUUGUAAACUGCUUUUGUACGGGAAGAAACACCGGUUCGUGAACCGGCUUGACGGUACCGUAAGAAUAAGGAUCGGCUAACUCCGUGCCAGCAGCCGCGGUAAUACGGAGGAUCCAAGCGUUAUCCGGAAUCAUUGGGUUUAAAGGGUCCGUAGGCGGUCUUAUAAGUCAGUGGUGAAAUCUGGUCGCUCAACGAUCAAACUGCCAUUGAUACUGUAGGACUUGAAUUACUGUGAAGUAACUAGAAUAUGUAGUGUAGCGGUGAAAUGCUUAGAGAUUACAUGGAAUACCAAUUGCGAAGGCAGGUUACUAACAGUGGAUUGACGCUGAUGGACGAAAGCGUGGGGAGCGAACAGGAUUAGAUACCCUGGUAGUCCACGCUGUAAACGAUGGAUACUAGUUGUUUGGAUUUAUCUGAGUGACUAAGCGAAAGUGAUAAGUAUCC